UUCUGGAGACUGCGGGCUCCGCCUUAUUGCUUCGCUCCUGUCUCUUUCCCAGAGCGCUAAAUUCAAUCGCAGAUCCGCUGCGGCUUUCCCCUUCACUAGCUUUCCAAGAAUAAAAGGUUGUACUCAAACUGUGCUUUUUAAUUUUUUCGAAGAUUUAUUUAUUUUUAUUUUAUCCUUAGAAGUGUUUUGCCCGCAAGGAUGUCUGUGCACCACGGUCAUGCAGUGCCCGCAGAGGUCAGAAGAGGGCGUCGGAUCCUCUGGAACUGGAGUUACAGUUUGAACACAGAAUCCUGAAAAUUUCAGAUCUAAGAUCCACAAAUGAGAGAGUGCAUGUGGCAUCUGACUUUCUGUGUCCAGGUUGCCUCACCCCGUAGGAUAUUUUCCAGUUCUAUCAAUUUGGCAUCACUGUAGCCCUCAAUGGUCUGGAACUCACUGUAUUCCACAGCUCUUCCCCCGCCCCCCCUUGCUCUUUUGUUCUUUUUGCCUCCUCUUCUCAGUUACACCCUGAGCCUUGGUGGUGGGGUGUGGAUAUAGGUCUGAGCACCGCAUUAAAACUUGGAAGUCUUAAAGAGACCUUGGACUUUUAGAAUGCUGAAAUUUAUAAAGACUUAAGUGUUUGAUGGUUGAAUCCUGAUAUUACCCAAGAAUCUGGGGGACAAGAAUUGGACGAUUAAGCUAAAGUGCUCUGUUUGUGUGGCAGGUUGAUGAGGGAUAGUGGGUUCUGGAAGAGCCCACUGUGGGUGGUACGAUUCCUAGGCUAGUGGCCCUGGACUGUAGAAGAAAGCUAGCUAAGCAUGGGCCUGAAAAGGAGCCAGCAGGCGGUGUCUCUCCGAUAGUUCUACUUCAGUCCUUACUUGAGUUCCCGGCUCCCCUCAGUGAUCGGUGGCAUCCUGUGAAAUGAAGUCAGUCCUCCCGCAUCCUUAGUUGCUUUUGGCUGUGGUGUCUGACAGGCAGAAUGAAACUGGAAUCUAGGGUUAGAUCCUCAUUCUCCUCGGUGCCGUUGCUAAACCUUUCUCUCUGCCUCCUGGCUAAGCCCAUGAUAUUGAAAGCUACCAGGCGCUGCUUCCAUUCUCGUGACCCUUCUUUGGGACUUUAACUUGUCCCCGUGCUGCAGCCCAGUCAGAAUCUCAGUCGUGUGUAUCCAUGUCCCACCCGUCACGCCGUCUCUCUGCUUGACUCCCUAACGUCGAUGUCCCAUUGGGUCACUAGACUGUUUAGGUCUUCAUCAGACCCUGCCCACUUGUCACCGCACUGCCCUCAGUCCCCGUCACUCUCGGUCACACACCGUCUUCAUUCAUAGCCUCCAACCAAAACGCCAGCUACAAGACCUACAACGCUCCCGCUACUCCGCCCCAGCAUCCUAGAGGCUGGAUGUAGAAGACUCUGCCUGGUUUAUAAUAAAACUCUUGAAAGAAAUUUUUAUAUUUACUACA
Long non-coding RNA from Arvicola amphibius (Eurasian water vole), 1433 nucleotides. RefSeq lists it as uncharacterized. The record is from RefSeq and is a predicted model, not a curated record. NCBI's taxonomy places the organism in Eukaryota, Metazoa, Chordata, Mammalia, Rodentia, Cricetidae. The transcript has 3 exons.